GCCGGUGUGAUGGAAUUGGCAGACGUGCAAGACUCAAAAUCUUGUGUCCGCGAGGACGUGCGGGUUCGACCCCCGCCACCGGCACCA
This 87-nucleotide transfer RNA is filed under the name Clostridia bacterium. Its description in RNAcentral is "tRNA-Leu". It matches the Rfam family "tRNA". Rfam says of the family: Transfer RNA (tRNA) molecules are approximately 80 nucleotides in length. Lineage: Bacteria; Bacillati; Bacillota; Clostridia. The record is from RNAcentral. RNAcentral also lists the same sequence under 1 other name.